ACGUCAGUGGUGCAGUGACUUAGCAUAUGCUCCCGGUAAGAGUGAGAUCUGGGUUCGACUCCCGACUGACGCG
Molecule: non-coding RNA, 73 nt
Organism: Parelaphostrongylus tenuis
Lineage: Eukaryota; Metazoa; Nematoda; Chromadorea; Rhabditida; Metastrongylidae
Source: the annotation of a GenBank genome assembly